UACGUAGGGUGCGAGCGUUAAUCGGAAUUACUGGGCGUAAAGUGUGCGCAGGCGGUUCGUUAAGUCAGCUGUGAAAGCCCCGGGCUCAACCUGGGAACUGCGGUUGAAACUGGCGAACUAGAAUCUGGCAGAGGGGGGUGGAAUUCCACGUGUAGCAGUGAAAUGCGUAGAUAUCGGAAGGAACAUCAGUGGCGAAGGCGGCUACCUGGACAGAUACUGACGCUGAGGCGCGAGAGCGUGGGGAGCAAACAGG
RNAcentral lists this ribosomal RNA (253 nucleotides) under uncultured bacterium. RNAcentral's name for it is "partial 16S ribosomal RNA". It matches the Rfam family "Bacterial small subunit ribosomal RNA", at positions 524 to 776 of the family's 1533-position model. The record is from RNAcentral.